This 417-nucleotide ribosomal RNA is filed under the name uncultured bacterium. RNAcentral describes it as "bacterial SSU rRNA". It matches the Rfam family "Bacterial small subunit ribosomal RNA", at positions 356 to 773 of the family's 1533-position model. The record is from RNAcentral.
GAGGAAUAUUGCGCAAUGGACGAAAGUCUGACGCAGCAACGCCGCGUGCAGGAUGACGGCCCUCUGGGUUGUAAACUGCUGUAGCAGGGGAAUAAUACCCGCCUCGGGCGGGUUGAAGGUACCCUGAAAGUAAGCUCCGGCUAACUACGUGCCAGCAGCCGCGGUAAUACGUAGGGAGCAAGCGUUGUCCGGAUUUACUGGGUGUAAAGGGUGCGCAGGCGGGUUGGUAAGUCAGGGGUGAAAUCUCACGGCUUAACCGUGAAAUUGCCUUUGAUACUGCUAACCUUGAGUUCGGGAGAGGUCGAUGGAAUUCCAGGUGUAGCGGUGAAAUGCGUAGAUAUCUGGAAGAACACCAGUAGCGAAGGCGGUCGACUGGCCCGUAACUGACGCUCAGGCACGAAAGCGUGGGGAGCGAAC